CCUACGGGAGGCAGCAGUGAGGAAUAUUGGUCAAUGGCCGAGAGGCUGAACCAGCCAAGUCGCGUGAGGGAAGAAUGUCCUAUGGAUUGUAAACCUCUUUUGUCAGGGAGCAAAGUCACCCACGUGUGGGUGUUGGAGAGUACCUGAAGAAAAAGCAUCGGCUAACUCCGUGCAAGCAGCCGCGGUAAUACGGAGGAUGCGAGCGUUAUCCGGAUUUAUUGGGUUUAAAGGGUGCGUAGGCGGGUUAUCAAGUCAGCGGUAAAAGCGUGGAGCUCAACUCCAUCCAGCCGUUGAAACUGAUGAUCUUGAGUGGGCGAGAAGUAUGCGGAAUGCGUGGUGUAGCGGUGAAAUGCAUAGAUAUCACGCAGAACUCCGAUUGCGAAGGCAGCAUACCGGCGCCCGACUGACGCUGAAGCACGAAAGCGUGGGUAUCGAACAGGAUUAGAUACCCGAGUAGUC
Molecule: ribosomal RNA, 459 nt
Filed under: uncultured bacterium
Lineage: Bacteria
Description: partial 16S ribosomal RNA
Rfam family: Bacterial small subunit ribosomal RNA
Source: RNAcentral